This 443-nucleotide ribosomal RNA is filed under the name uncultured bacterium. RNAcentral describes it as "partial 16S ribosomal RNA". It matches the Rfam family "Bacterial small subunit ribosomal RNA", at positions 355 to 789 of the family's 1533-position model. The record is from RNAcentral.
UAGGGAAUCUUCCACAAUGGACGAAAGUCUGAUGGAGCAACGCCGCGUGAGUGAUGAAGGGUUUCGGCUCGUAAAACUCUGUUGUUGGAGAAGAACAGGUGUGAGAGUAACUGUUCACAUCUUGACGGUAUCCAACCAGAAAGCCACGGCUAACUACGUGCCAGCAGCCGCGGUAAUACGUAGGUGGCAAGCGUUGUCCGGAUUUAUUGGGCGUAAAGCGAGCGCAGGCGGUUUCUUAGGUCUGAUGUGAAAGCCUUCGGCUUAACCGGAGAAGUGCAUCGGAAACCAGGAGACUUGAGUGCAGAAGAGGACAGUGGAACUCCAUGUGUAGCGGUGAAAUGCGUAGAUAUAUGGAAGAACACCAGUGGCGAAGGCGGCUGUCUGGUCUGUAACUGACGCUGAGGCUCGAAAGCAUGGGUAGCGAACAGGGAUUAGAUACCCUG